GAAGAAGAUGGUAAGGGUAUGAGUCACCUCUAGCAAUGAACAGUGCUGGUUAAUAUUUCACAUUUUUACCUCUCCUGCCCUUAGAAAUCACAAUACUUGACACCAGGUCACAAAAUUAUUAAAACUUCAAGUGGCUACACUUCCUUCUCCACGUGAGUCCUCACUUCUCCUUAACAUUUUACUCUGGCAAUCCCUUCAGGCUUCUGGCCUUUUCUCCCUCCCUUUGACCCUCAUAACUAAUUAAAUCUGGACAAGUCUUUGGUGAAAAUAGUUUCCUUUAAAGUUAUUCAUUCAAAGUUCCCCUUAAGGCAUUCUUUGUCACUUUAGCCCAGCCUGCAAUCUUUACAUGAAGUUGAAAGAAGUGAGCUAUUUUUAUAAGAUA
Molecule: long non-coding RNA, 382 nt
Filed under: Homo sapiens (human)
Lineage: Eukaryota; Metazoa; Chordata; Mammalia; Primates; Hominidae
Description: HSALNT0075169
Source: RNAcentral